RNAcentral lists this ribosomal RNA (574 nucleotides) under uncultured Pelobacter sp. Its description in RNAcentral is "bacterial SSU rRNA". It matches the Rfam family "Bacterial small subunit ribosomal RNA", at positions 97 to 649 of the family's 1533-position model. Lineage: Bacteria; Pseudomonadati; Thermodesulfobacteriota; Desulfuromonadia; Desulfuromonadales; Desulfuromonadaceae. The record is from RNAcentral.
GGCGCACGGGUGAGUAACGCGUAGAUAAUCUGCCUGAUGAUCUGGAAUAACACUUCGAAAGGAGUGCUAAUACCGGAUAAGCCCACGAUGACCUUGGUCAUUGCGGGAAAAGGGGGGGACCAUUUGGCCUUCUGUCAUCAGAUGAGUCUGCGUACCAUUAGCUAGUUGGUAGGGUAAUGGCCUACCAAGGCGACGAUGGUUAGCUGGUCUGAGAGGAUGAUCAGCCACACUGGAACUGAGACACGGUCCAGACUCCUACGGGAGGCAGCAGUGGGGAAUUUUGCGCAAUGGCCGAAAGCCUGACGCAGCAACGCCGCGUGAGUGAUGAAGGCUUUCGGGUCGUAAAGCUCUGUCAGGGGGAAAGAAGUGUAAUGUGGUUAACACCCAUGUUACUUGACGGUACCCCCAAAGGAAGCACCGGCUAACUCCGUGCCAGCAGCCGCGGUAAUACGGAGGGUGCGAGCGUUGUUCGGAUUUAUUGGGCGUAAAGCGCGUGUAGGCGGUUUGUUAAGUCUGAUGUGAAAGCCCUGGGCUCAACCUGGGAAGUGCAUUGGAUACUGGCAGACUUGAAUAC